Molecule: ribosomal RNA, 449 nt
Filed under: uncultured bacterium
Lineage: Bacteria
Description: partial 16S ribosomal RNA
Rfam family: Bacterial small subunit ribosomal RNA
Source: RNAcentral
AACAAACGCUGGCGGCAUGCCUAACACAUGCAAGUCGAACGAGAUCUUCGGGUCUAGUGGCGCACGGGUGCGUGACGCGUGGGAAUCUGCCCUUUGGUUCGGAAUAACAGUUGGAAACGACUGCUAAUACCGGAUGAUGACGAAAGUCCAAAGAUUUAUCGCCAGAGGAUGAGCCCGCGUAGGAUUAGCUAGUUGGUGUGGUAAAGGCGCACCAAGGCGACGAUCCUUAGCUGGUCUGUGAGGAUGAUCAGCCACACUGGGACUGAGACACGGCCCAGACUCCUACGGGAGGCAGCAGUGGGGAAUAUUGGACAAUGGGCGAAAGCCUGAUCCAGCAAUGCCGCGUGAGUGAUGAAGGCCUUAGGGUUGUAAAGCUCUUUUACCCGGGAUGAUAAUGACAGUACCGGGAGAAUAAGCUCCGGCUAACUCCGUGCCAGCCGCCGCGGUAA